UCCCCGUUACCGGGGCAGUCUGAAUAGAAAAAUACAACUAUUCACAAGGGUUGCGCUCGUUAAAGGACUUAACCUAACAUCUCACGACACGAGCUGACGACGGCCAUGCAUCACCUGUCACUUGGUUCCUAAAAGGCACACGCUACUUUCGUAGUGCUUCCAAGGAUUUCAAACCCUGGUAAGGUUCUUCGUUUAUCAUCGAAUUAAAGAACAUAAUCCACCGCUUGUGCGGCUCCCCGUCAAUUCCUUUAUGUUUUAGUCUUGCGACCGUACUCCACAGGCGGGAUGCUUAACGCGUUAGCUUCGCUACUGAAGGGGUCGAUACCUCCAACAGCUAGCAUCCAUAGUUUACGGCGUGGACUAC
Molecule: unclassified non-coding RNA, 364 nt
Filed under: uncultured bacterium
Lineage: Bacteria
Description: contains 16S-23S intergenic spacer region
Source: RNAcentral